Molecule: ribosomal RNA, 715 nt
Filed under: uncultured bacterium
Lineage: Bacteria
Description: bacterial SSU rRNA
Rfam family: Bacterial small subunit ribosomal RNA
Source: RNAcentral
AGCAUGAAAGUUUGCUUGCAAACUUUUGAUGGCGACCGGCGCACGGGUGAGUAACACGUAUCCAACCUGCCUCAUACUCGGGGAUAGCCUUUCGAAAGAAAGAUUAAUACCCGAUGUCAUAGUCCUACCGCAUGAUGGGAUUAUUAAAGAAUUUCGGUAUGGGAUGGGGAUGCGUUCCAUUAGUUAGUUGGCGGGGUAACGGCCCACCAAGACAACGAUGGAUAGGGGUUCUGAGAGGAAGGUCCCCCACAUUGGAACUGAGACACGGUCCAAACUCCUACGGGAGGCAGCAGUGAGGAAUAUUGGUCAAUGGACGAGAGUCUGAACCAGCCAAGUAGCGUGAAGGAUGACUGCCCUAUGGGUUGUAAACUUCUUUUAUAUGGGAAUAAAAUGUUCCACGUGUGGGAUUUUGUAUGUACCAUAUGAAUAAGGAUCGGCUAACUCCGUGCCAGCAGCCGCGGUAAUACGGAGGAUCCGAGCGUUAUCCGGAUUUAUUGGGUUUAAAGGGAGCGUAGGUGGAUUGUUAAGUCAGUUGUGAAAGUUUGCGGCUCAACCGUAAAAUUGCAGUUGAAACUGGCAGUCUUGAGUACAGUAGAGGUGGGCGGAAUUCGUGGUGUAGCGGUGAAAUGCUUAGAUAUCACGAAGAACUCCGAUUGCGAAGGCAGCUCACUGGACUGCAACUGACACUGAGGCUCGAAAGUGUGGGUAUCAAACA